CUGCAACUGUUUAUUAAAAACAUAGCACUCUGCAAACACGAAAGUGGACGUAUAGGGUGUGAUGCCUGCCCGGUGCUGGAAGGUUAAUUGAUGGGGUUAGCGUAAGCGAAGCUCUUGAUCGAAGCCCCAGUAAACGGCGGCCGUAACUAUAACGGUCCUAAGGUAGCGAAAUUCCUUGUCGGGUAAGUUCCGACCUGCACGAAUGGCAUAAUGAUGGCGGCGCUGUCUCCAGCAGAGGCUCAGUGAAAUCGAAUUCGCCGUGAAGAUGCGGUGUACCCGCGGCUAGACGGAAAGACCCCGUGAACCUUUACUGCAGCUUGACAUUGAACUUUGAUCUUACUUGUGUAGGAUAGGUGGGAGGCUUUGAAGUGGUGACGCUAGUUGCCAUGGAGCCGUCCUUGAAAUACCACCCUGGUAAUAUUGAGGUUCUAACUCUGUCCCGUUAUCCGGGACGAGGACCAUGUCUGGUGGGUAGUUUGACUGGGGCGGUCUCCUCCUAAAGAGUAACGGAGGAGUACGAAGGUGCGCUCAGACCGGUCGGAAAUCGGUCGUAGAGUAUAAAGGCAAAAGCGCGCUUAACUGCGAGACCCACAAGUCGAGCAGGUACGAAAGUAGGUCUUAGUGAUCCGGUGGUUCUGUAUGGAAGGGCCAUCGCUCAACGGAUAAAAGGUACUCCGGGGAUAACAGGCUGAUACCGCCCAAGAGUUCAUAUCGACGGCGGUGUUUGGCACCUCGAUGUCGGCUCAUCUCAUCCUGGGGCUGAAGCAGGUCCCAAGGGUAUGGCUGUUCGCCAUUUAAAGAGGUACGCGAGCUGGGUUUAGAACGUCGUGAGACAGUUCGGUCCCUAUCUACCGUGGGCGCUGGAAAUUUGAGAGGAUCUGCUCCUAGUACGAGAGGACCAGAGUGGACGAACCUCUGGUGUACCGGUUGUGACGCCAGUCGCAUCGCCGGGUAGCUAUGUUCGGAAGGGAUAACCGCUGAAAGCAUCUAAGCGGGAAGCCUACCUCAAGAUAAGAUUUCCCCGAGACUUUAUGUCUCCUAAAGAGCCGUUGAAGACUACGACGUUGAUAGGUUGGAUGUGGAAGUAUAGUGAUAUGUGAAGCUGACCAAUACUAAUUGCUCGUGAGGCUUGACUAU
This 1137-nucleotide ribosomal RNA is filed under the name bioreactor metagenome. Its description in RNAcentral is "bacterial LSU rRNA". It matches the Rfam family "Bacterial large subunit ribosomal RNA", at positions 1794 to 2925 of the family's 2925-position model. The record is from RNAcentral.